This 56-nucleotide transfer RNA is filed under the name Bos taurus (domestic cattle). The record is from Rfam by way of RNAcentral. RNAcentral also lists the same sequence under 2 other names. Lineage: Eukaryota; Metazoa; Chordata; Mammalia; Artiodactyla; Bovidae.
UGGCUCAGAUGGUGAAGCAUCUGCCUACAAUGCAGGAGACCAGGGUUCAAUCCCUG